Molecule: ribosomal RNA, 234 nt
Filed under: uncultured bacterium
Lineage: Bacteria
Description: partial 16S ribosomal RNA
Rfam family: Bacterial small subunit ribosomal RNA
Source: RNAcentral
GAUCAUGGCUCAGGAUGAACGCUGGCGGCGUGCCUAACACAUGCAAGUCGAGCGAAGCACUUUGCUUAGAUUCUUCGGAUGAAGAGGAUUGUGACUGAGCGGCGGACGGGUGAGUAACGCGUGGGUAACCUGCCUCAUACAGGGGGAUAACAGUUAGAAAUGACUGCUAAUACCGCAUAAGACCACAGCACCGCAUGGUGCGGGGGUAAAACUCCGGUGGUAUGAGAUGGCCCG